UUUUCAAAACAGGUUUAAAGUGAGGAUGGACAGAUAUUGAAAUGCCCAACUUAUUGUACCUAGGUACCAAAGGAGAUGAUGGAAAUGUCAAAAGGUUUUUACUCCAUUUCUCAGGACUUUUUUGGCUCCAGUAAUUUCCUGGGAAUCACACUUAGCAGAACCAUGGAUAAUGAAAUGCUAUCUGCUCAUCUCCUUUGCACACUAUGGAUGCAAGUGGAAGGCUUCAUCUAAACGACCUAGGCAAAAGGAUUAAUGCAUUCUAAAAACUGCUUAAGGAAAGCAAAAUGGUCUGAACAUAUCUGGCCCUUGGUAUUGGAUCACAUGGUGUCAGUAAUAAUAUCAGAAUUUCUAUAAGAUUCUAGGUGCCUAUUUUAAAAGCAGUUUAAGGAGAUGUGGUCUAAAAUCCUUCUGUACCCUCUGUACACUUCUUUUGCAAAUUAAAAUUCCUUUCCUAUGUGUUGCUAUCCAAAUAUGCAGCUGUCAUCAUUACAAAAAGCAGUAAUGCAUGCUAUUACUAAAACCUUAAAUUAGUGGAAUUACUCUUUUCCUAUGUAGCAAAUGAUAGUUUGAGAGGGAAUAGCCUCAAGUUGCAGUAGGGUCGGUUUAAAGUGGAUAUUAGGAAAAAUGUCUUAAUUGAAAGGGUUGUCAAGCAUUGGAACAAGCUGCCCAGAGAAGGGGCUGAGUGACCAUCCUUGGAGGUAUUUAAAAGAUGUGUAGAUGAUGUGCACAGGGGACACAGCCCUGACAACAUUAGGUUUACAGUUAGACUUGAUUAUCUUGAAGUGUUUUCCCAGACCGAACGAUUCUAUUAUUUUAUGACUGCCUACAGCAUCCCCAGAUAAUUUCUAAACUCUUUGAGCUCAAUCUAUAAAGAAACAAGUACAGUGAGUACAUGGACAUUUUAAAUUCUGCGUUAUAGCCCAUCUCUGCCUGUUGGGUCUCCUAUUAGCAAUCAACAGAUAUCAGAAUAAAACUACGAAUAUGAAGUUGAGUUAAAUCAGCUUUUUAGAAUAUCCCAUUAAAACACCAAAUAAUAAUUUUCUUUCUUUCCUUAAUAAUCCCUUUUAUGAUAUGGCAUAGAAUUGAAAUCAACAGCUGAUAUCUACAACCUUAACAGGCUUCUAUCUUGUUAAUUCCCUUUGGACAGAGGUAAUCUUUUCUCUGGCAAUGUCUUCUUCCAUGGAACAUCUGGGAAUUACCAUCAAAAUAUUUAUCUGGUUCUUGUUGUCAUUCUUCCGGUAAAGACCUGAAACUCUGGUCAUUUUACAACUGACCAAAAUCUGCAUUUGUUUCAGUGGGCCCUUGUUGAAAUCUGAUUUGAAUCUCUUUCCUUAAAGAGACAACAUACACUUAGCUAACUGCUAUAGUUCACAAAAUUUAAUGUUGCGUGUUUUGUAUCUGAUACACUAGAGGCAACUUUUCAAGUUCCUGCAGCUGCACAGCCUAAAUCUUGGCACAAUCUACUAAUAUAUCUGAGACAGAAAUAUGACCCCAUAAAAGUAGAGUAUUAUGAGCACUAAAGCUCUGCUACGUCUCAGUCAAAAUAUCAAGGUUUUUUACUGUAGUAUUCCACUCAGUAUUCAUGGAAUAGAGUGUGAUUAAAGAACCACUCUUGCUCUUGGUGCGCCGAUUCAAUAAUUAUUGUCUUUGUUUCUUUAAUAUAUGUGCAAUGUCUCAUCCCACACAAAACAUGAUAUCAUAAAGUUAAGAUAAUAGUAGAGUGAGACAUCUUUCACAAUGGCAGUAACAAACUCUGGGUGGUUUUUCAAUGUUUAUGAACAUCAGCACUGUAUUAAUAAACUUAUUUCAACCUUGCAGAAAUUUACACUUCUACACUAAAAAAGAAAAAGUUCCCUUAGAAUGACUAAGGUAGAGCAGGAUAAAGAAAGGUAAAUGUGAUCUUUAAUUACUUUUAUGCAUGCAGACCUCAAGGGAUAGAAGAACAAAAUACCUUCUGCAAUUUUGGAAGACAAAAGGGUGCUUCUAAACAGCUUUAGCACUGUCUGGGCUCCUUCCAGAGCAUCCACAGCUGCUUUGCUUCUCAGGCUCUUCUACUAUUUCAUCUCUUAACUUGCUUUUGUCAUCCACAGUAUGUAUACGCUGCUUGUCCUGGGAGUUUCUAGUACUUACAUUGGACAGCUUACACAGGGCAGACAUCAGGGCUCCUUCCAGUCAGUGGGAUUGUUCUCCCUCUGUGUCACAAAUCCCAGCUGAUGUUUCACCAGAGGGACACUUCUGCCUCCAUCCUGCCUUGGACUAUGUUACAGCCAUGGCAGCAUCCUGAAAUAAUGCUCUGCUGUAGUGAUGGAGAGUGAUGCUAAAAAUAUUUUUAAAGUGAUUAAAAUGUUUUGCUAUUUUAUUUAAUUUUUAAAAGGCUAUUUUAAGAACAUAAAACUUCAGGGCAUUUUAUGAGAAGAAAUACUUUGUUUAACACUACUUCAUAUAAAGGACAUUUAAAAUCUAAUGUUAUUAAUAUCUUCUUGGUUGAAUGCCAGCACAUUUUUGGCUAAAUUGAUUGAUCGCAGUGCAUAAGAAAAAGUACCCUCUCAUUCCUGUGCACUGAGGUUCUGAUCCAGGAAAUCAAACAGAGUAUAAAUGGAUGAUCCCUCCAGCUGCUUACCUUUUCUUUCUUCUUACUCAGUGUGUAGUUUAUGAGUUUGGGAGAUCCCUGCAAUGAUCUGACUCUACUGGGAUCUUUUAUUAAUUGCUGUUUUUAGUACAGACUCUUUUCUACUCCAGAUGUUCAUGAAGUCUAAUGCACAUUAGGAAUAUCUUGUUAAAAUUAAACUAUACUACUCACUACACACAUCAGUUAUUGGUAUGGAAGCUCUACUUUAUCUAAGUACAGAAAAGGUAGGAAAGUCUUUUAUUUUAUUUUUUUCUGUAAAUCCUGUCAGGCUAAGGUUUCAUGAGACACUAUGAAAAAUUUCCCUAACAUAUAUUUGUCACACAUUCUGCAUUUUCUUUCAUUACUAAUUUUAUUUUAUUAAAAAUGCAAUUGACUCUGUCUGGCAAGACUAUUUGUAUUGAUUUACAACUUAUAAUGAAAUACAAAUUAGUGCAGUUUCUGAGUUAAUUGCACCUUUGGCCUUGUUUUUGACUGCAGUAAGGUUUUUCCAAUCAGUCUCAGACACCUGGCCAUCAACCUUCUGGGUCCAGCAUUCUUGCCCUAGACAUCUCUGGUCUCCUCUCUGCAGAUUAGUGACACAAAUGCUAAGUACUUGGGAUCUUUCUAUUCAGUUUGACAACUCAGCAAGUCCAGGAUCAGGUAAAAACCCAGCCUCUCUCUUUCAGGAAAUGACAGCAUAAAGUAAACAUCUCCCAAAUUUUCUGAUUUAGAAAAGAAACAUUACAUAGAAAAAAGAUAUUAAGAGAAUAAACACAUCUGAACAUGUCCUCCUCGCCUGGGAGCUGACAAAAACUAAGAUGCAGAACUUGACAAGGUGAAGGUCAAAUCCAUAAAAGGAUUUAUGUGUCUGGAUCCUCUUCAGUAGACUCCAGUACACAAGGGAGAGAAUCAAAAACCUUGCUUACAGUCACAGAGAAUCAUAAUCCCUCACUGGGAGUCAAAGCCUGGUGCUCUUUCUUGAACAAAAACACAUGGAAAGAUUUGUGUUAGGAGAGAAAGAUUCUCCCAUUACCUCUCCACUUUUAAAACACCUCUCCACGUUUGUAAAACAUCAAGUAGUUAAAAUGAAGGAAGGUGAGGAGUGGGGAUGAUGGUGGAAAGAAGGAAAUAGCAUCUACAGGCUUAAAUCUCUCUUGUAGUCACCAGCUCACUAAUUUUUUCUCUGUUUCUGUUCCACUGAAGCCACAAAAUUGUUGUUAAGAUGUCCUAGGAAGUCCCUAGUCUCUCUAAUGCAUACAAUAUGAUAAAUGCCAUUUAAGACCAUUAUAUUUGCAUCUGUUUAGUCCCUAGCCAAUACAUCCAUCAGUACUUGUAAAGUCCUGUGUCUCCCAAAACUAGGAAAAUCAGGAGUGCGUGUCUGCCAUUUGCUGCAAUUCUGUUUGAAGGCCCAACCUUAUUCUAAAACCCACUCCAAGAGCUUCUACACAUGGCUAUGCUGCUUCACAUUGCUUAUCUCUCAGAAUACCUGUAUCCAAAAAGAAG
Molecule: long non-coding RNA, 4111 nt
Filed under: Taeniopygia guttata (zebra finch)
Lineage: Eukaryota; Metazoa; Chordata; Aves; Passeriformes; Estrildidae
Description: lncRNA (ENSTGUG00000023722.1)
Source: RNAcentral